Molecule: long non-coding RNA, 2682 nt
Filed under: Homo sapiens (human)
Lineage: Eukaryota; Metazoa; Chordata; Mammalia; Primates; Hominidae
Description: non-protein coding lnc-ZNF235-2:1
Source: RNAcentral
GGAAGAUAGGACCCAACUUGAUUAGUGAGGCUAAAGGAGGACAGGAUCUAAUCACAAGACAAUGCCAAAUUAACAUUGGGGAGUUCAGUAUUGAGUGGUUUUCUACAUUUCAAUGGUCUCCCGACUUAAUCUUAUUAAGGCUACUUUCAGGUUUCCUGUUUACAAAUUCAUGAUAUUCUGCAGGUGAUCUCAACAUAAUUUUCAAAAAGGACCUAUUAACAAAUAUUGAGCACCUGUGAAGUAUAUGGCAAUGGUAAGAUUAUGUAGAUUCAGUAGUGAACAAAGUUUCUGUCUUUAUGGAGUUAACAUUCUAGUGGACACUUAAUUUUGGCAUGUCCACCAUGAUACUUUUAUAAAAGGCCUGAGAAAAAUUUCACUCUUAACACCCCUCUUCUAAGUAACAUUUUAUAAAGGUCAAGGUUCUGACUAAAGAAGCCCUUGCUAUGCUAAUCAUAAAGAUUGUUUUGUUGUCUUUGGACCACUGGGACAUGAGGAGCUACGGCUGAAACACUGACUUUGAGACUUGAUAACUGGAAGAAUUCAAAUGACACGAGUCUUCACAAAGAAUCAUUUUAUAGAUUUUUUUUCCUGUGUGGAUUCUCUGAUGUUCUUACCACCCCUAUUACUUUUAUAGGAUUUAUCACCAACAUGGAUUCUGUGAUGAACUGUAAGAUUUGAUCGCCAACUGAAGCUCUUACCACAUAUCUCACAUUUAUAAGGUUUCUCCCCAGUGUGAACUCGCUGAUGAGACUGUAGUUGUGAAGACCGACUGAAGACUUUACCACACACAUCACAUUUGUAUGGUUUCUCUCCUGUGUGGACACUCUGAUGAAGUUGAAGACUUGAGGCCUGACUGAAGUACUUACCACACUCCCCACAUUUAUAUGGUUUUUCUCCUGUGUGCACCCUCUGAUGCAUGUCAAGGUUCAAGCUCCACUUGAAGCCCUUCCCACACUCAUCACAUUUGUAUGGCUUAUCUCCAGUGUGGACUUUUUGAUGGGCUUGAAGAUGUGCACUCCGACCGAAACUCUUCCCACAUUCUUCACAUUUGAAUGGUUUUUCUCCACUGUGGACUCUCUGAUGGGCCAAAAGAUUUGAGGCCUGCCUGAAGACCUUCCCACACUCCUCACAAUUAUAUGGUUUCUCUCCUGUGUGGAUCCUACAGUGAAUUUUAAGAUCUGCUCUACGACUAAAUCCCUUGCCACACUCUUCACAUUUGUAUGGUUUCUCACCCGUAUGGAUCAGCUGGUGAAUCUGAAGUCGUGAGCUCUGAUUGAAACCCUGCCCACACUCCUCACACUUAAAAGGUUUCUCUAUACUGUGGGCCUUCUGAUGGAUUUGAAGAUACGAACUUUGACUGAAGCCCUUCCCACAUAUCUCACAUUUAUAGGGUUUCUCUCCUGUGUGGACCACUAGAUGAACUUGAUAAUGGGAAUUCCUCCUGAAGCUCUUCCCACACUCAUUGCAUUUGUAUGGCUUCUCUCCAGUGUGGACUCUCUGAUGGGCUUGAAGAUUUGAACUCAGAGUAAAGCCUUUCCCACAUACAGUACAUAUGUAUGACUUCUCUCCAGUGUGAACUCCCUGAUGGGCCUGAAGACUUGAAGGCCGACUAAAGCCUUUACCACAUUCCUCACAUUUAUAGGGUUUUUCUCCUGUGUGGACUCUCUGAUGAAUGUAAAGAUUUGAGCUACAAAUGAAGCCCUUACCACACUCCUCACAUUUGUAUGGUUUCUCUCCUGUAUGAACUCUUUGAUGGGAUUGAAGAUGUGAAUUCCGACUGAAGCUCUUACCACAUGCAUCACAUUUGUAUGGUUUCUCUCCUGUGUGGACACUCUGAUGAAGUUGGAGACUUGAGGCCUGACUGAAGUGCUUCCCACACUCCCCACAUGUAUAGGGUUUUUCUCCUGUGUGCACCCUCUGAUGCAUGUCAAGGUUCAAGCUCCACUUGAAGCCCUUUCCACACUCCCCACAUUUGUAUGGCUUUUCUCCAGUGUGGACUUUUUGAUGGGCUUGAAGGUGUGCACUCCGACUGAAGCUCUUCCCACACUCUUCACAUUUAAAUGGUUUUUCCCCACUGUGAACUCUCUGAUGGGUUAGAAGAUGCGAGGCCUGACUGAAGACCUUCCCACACUCCUCACAAUUAUAUGGUUUCUCCCCUGUGUGGAUCCUACAAUGAAUUUUAAGAUCUGCUCUACGACUAAAUCCCUUUCCGCACUCUUCACAUUUGUAUGGUUUCUCUCCUGUGUGGACCAUGCAAUGAUUAUUAAGUGCUGAUCUACGACGGAAGUUCUUACCACAUGUAUCACAUUUGAAUGGUUUCUCCCCAGUAUGAAUUCUCUGAUGUUCCUGAAGAUGGGAAGCAUGUAUGAAGGCCCUUCCACAUUCCUCACAAUUGUAAGGUUUCUCUCCUGAGUGUAAUUUGCAAUGUACAGUAAGUGUUGAUCUACGACUGAAGCCUUUCCCACAUUCCACACAUUUGAAUGGUUUCUCUACAGUGUGGACUCUCUGAUGAGUUUGAAGAUGUGAGCUCUGACUAAAUUCCUUACCACACACGUCACACUUAUAGCAUUUCUCUCCCAUGUGGACUCUUUGAUGAAUAUGAAGGGCUGAGAUGUAACAGAAGCUUUUUCCACACUCAUCACAUGUAUGAGACUUCUCUCCUGAGUGUAACUGUUGAUGAAG